Molecule: non-coding RNA, 93 nt
Organism: Parascedosporium putredinis
Lineage: Eukaryota; Fungi; Ascomycota; Sordariomycetes; Microascales; Microascaceae
Source: the annotation of a GenBank genome assembly
GCCCUCGUAGCUCAAUCGGUAGAGCGUGAGACUCUUAACUCUCAUAAGAAGGCGGUGAUCUCAAGGCUGUGGGUUCGAUCCCCACCGAGGGCU